UACGUAGGAGGCAAGCGUUGUCCGGAAUUACUGGGUGUAAAGCGCGUGUAGGUGGCAGGCCAAGUCUGCGGUGAAAUCGCCCGGCUCAACUGGGCGGGGUCCGUGGAAACUGGUCAGCUGGAGGACGGUAGAGGCGAGUGGAAUUCCCGGUGUAGUGGUGAAAUGCGUAGAGAUCGGGAGGAACACCAGUGGCGAAGGCGGCUCGCUGGGCCGGUCCUGACACUGAGGCGCGAAGGCGUGGGGAGCGAACGGG
RNAcentral lists this ribosomal RNA (253 nucleotides) under uncultured bacterium. RNAcentral's name for it is "partial 16S ribosomal RNA". It matches the Rfam family "Bacterial small subunit ribosomal RNA", at positions 524 to 776 of the family's 1533-position model. The record is from RNAcentral.